UACGUAGGGGGCAAGCGUUGUCCGGAUUUCUUGGGCGUAAAGAGCGUGUAGGCGGCCUGAAAGGUCAGCUGUGAAAACUCGAGGCUCAACCUCGAGACGUCGGUUGAAACCAUCUGGCUAGAGUCCGGAAGAGGAGUGUGGAAUUCCCGGUGUAGCGGUGAAAUGCGCAGAUAUCGGGAAGAACACCCGUGGCGAAGGCGGCACUCUGGGACGGUACUGACGCUGAGACGCGAAAGCGUGGGGAGCGAACAGG
RNAcentral lists this ribosomal RNA (253 nucleotides) under uncultured bacterium. Its description in RNAcentral is "partial 16S ribosomal RNA". It matches the Rfam family "Bacterial small subunit ribosomal RNA", at positions 524 to 776 of the family's 1533-position model. The record is from RNAcentral.